ACUCCUACGGGAGGCAGCAGUGGGAAUUUUGGACAAUGGGCGCAAGCCUGAUCCAGCCAUGCCGCGUGAGUGAAGAAGGCCUUCGGGUUGUAAAGCUCUUUCAGCCGGGAAGAAAAGGCCGCGACUAAUAAUCGCGGUUCAUGACGGUACCGGAAGAAGAAGCACCGGCUAACUACGUGCCAGCAGCCGCGGUAAUACGUAGGGUGCGAGCGUUAAUCGGAAUUACUGGGCGUAAAGGUGCGCAGGCGGUCUUGUAAGUCAGAUGUGAAAUCCCCGGGCUUAACCUGGGAACUGCGUUUGAAACUACAAGACUAGAGUGUAGCAGAGGGGGUGGAAUUCCAUGUGUAGCAGUGAAAUGCGUAGAGAUAUGGAAGAACACCGAUGGCGAAGGCAGCCCCCUGGGUUAACACUGACGCUCAGGCACGAAAGCGUGGGGAGCAAACAGGAUUAGAUACCCUGUAGGCUCUG
This 468-nucleotide ribosomal RNA is filed under the name uncultured bacterium. RNAcentral's name for it is "bacterial SSU rRNA". It matches the Rfam family "Bacterial small subunit ribosomal RNA", at positions 335 to 798 of the family's 1533-position model. The record is from RNAcentral.